Molecule: long non-coding RNA, 400 nt
Organism: Actinia tenebrosa (Australian red waratah sea anemone)
Lineage: Eukaryota; Metazoa; Cnidaria; Anthozoa; Actiniaria; Actiniidae
Source: RefSeq, a predicted model, not a curated record
GUUUUCCUUCGUAAGGACCGAUCCAAGUGCCGAUAGGAAUGUGCUGCUUGGCACUCACGCCAUAACCCGCUCCAGGAAUACUCGAACAACAAAGCUGAACUUCGUCAGGAAAGGACGAGAUGGCAUAGGAUCCCGUACUCRGAAACCUGGAAGAGCCCAAGCAUGUACUAAAAAAAAAGGCUUCUCAGCGUGAAUCCCAACCCUAGUUCCUUCCAUUAUACAUUACAUUAUCAAUAAGUCAUGAGGUUUUAUGUAACUCAAGAUUGAAAAAAUUAUAAUUUCAAAGUUACUACAUCGUGAUCGAAAUCUGUAAAACUUUGACCCGCUCUGCAGAAAUGACUAAAAAAAUCAACUAGAAUUAAGCUUUGAAUAUUCUCAAUAAUCUAAUUUUGUAUCAAAA